Molecule: long non-coding RNA, 1529 nt
Organism: Brassica rapa (field mustard)
Lineage: Eukaryota; Viridiplantae; Streptophyta; Magnoliopsida; Brassicales; Brassicaceae
Source: RefSeq, a predicted model, not a curated record
UACCACCAACAAGCCUCUGCGUUUAUGCCGUCAUCUACUCCGCCUUGGCCACUCCGGAUUCGUUGCGCAUCUUUCUUCACGAGAACCAAGCUCUCUCUCUCUCUCUCUCUCUCUCUCUCUCUGAUCUUCGUUUGAUUAGGCACAGGAAGGUGGAUCGUGAGCAGAGUUGGUUGUCAUGAGCUUGAAGACAGAGGAGGUAUGGCGUGGUGGUGGUGCUAGCAGCCUCUGCUCACCGGAGAGUGAAGAAAACAAAGGAUCUAUGGCGUGAUGCGGUGGAUGAAGAUGACGACGUUAUGCGGCUGAUGAUUAUUCAACUCAGAUUUAGAUUUAGGUUUUUUUGUUUGUUUGGUUUAGUGUUUUUUACUUGGUUUAGAUUUAGAUAUAUACUUCCAUUUGACCUAUUUCUAGGAGGCUGGACACAGUGCGAAAGGUAGAGCUCUUAUUGGCUUAGAGCUGCUCAUCAUCAAUGAACAGCUCUGUUCUAUCUGGUGUAGACCACAUGUGCCUACCUAUGUAUGAUGACCAGUUCAGGUUCCACGUUCAUGAGGAUUUUGAAUCCAACUGUGGACUCAGGGGAGACCUCUAUGGUGUGAGAUGUGGUUGGCCUCAUGAAGCUACUGAAUUGACAAUUGCUCAUUCACCGUCCGGUCCUUGACUACGUGGAAAUAGCGAACACAAGGCCUGUUCUGUUUCACUUACAAACUAAAGAGACCUGUUAUGAAGCUGUAUCUCUGGGACCAGGCAGCAACAGUAUUCUACAAAUUCACGGCCAGUGCCGACACUUCCGUUAUCCUUUUAGUGAUGACACUGAAUUCAGAACAUAUUCGUGGACCCUUGCCCUCAGCUCAAUCUCAUCAUCACAUGUUUUCAUCGACAAAUAUUCCAACCCACAAUCAACUACUUCAAUUGUCAGGUUGAAUUCUAACCUAGAGUUUGCUAAGAAAGUGAAUGCAUAGGAGGUGACUAAGGCUGAGACAACGACAAUUGGAAAAAUCUUUGCUUAUAUCAAGCAAGGAUUGGCCAAGGCCGUGAGCUAACUGGAAAGCAUGCCUCCGAAUUGGUUGAUAAGUACUUUGAGGCUAAUGGUGAUCUUGGUACUAACCAUGAAUGCCUGUCCUACAAACUUUGAUCGACGCCAUUGGUCAAACACAUAGGUUCAAGGUGUAAGUUUCUGAAUACAACUUAGAAGGAAGGACUCAGGCUAUAACAGUUAUGAAGGUUGUCUCUCCUUCAGUCCUGCAACCUUUAACAUCCCCGGUUGGAAUCACACUUGCCACCACUUCUGAAAUGCCUCUAUUUUCUGCAAGUGAUUAGGGUGCGUCCUCCAAAGACUGGAGACCUAGCUGUUGAAGAAAACGCCAGUACAAGUAACUGUGACAAAGCACAGAGGAAAACGUGCUAAAUUUGAGUAAUAGAGCAUUAACCACUCAUUUUAUAUAUUGCACUUAUGCGUAGGAGUGUAGCUUUUCUGUCCGUUUCUAAUUAUGAGCGUUUGUUAAGUUUUUUUUAAUAUAUUUAGUAUGGCUUUA